RNAcentral lists this ribosomal RNA (253 nucleotides) under uncultured bacterium. RNAcentral describes it as "partial 16S ribosomal RNA". It matches the Rfam family "Bacterial small subunit ribosomal RNA", at positions 524 to 776 of the family's 1533-position model. The record is from RNAcentral.
UACGUAGGGUGCAAGCGUUAAUCGGAAUUACUGGGCGUAAAGCGUGCGCAGGCGGUUUUGUAAGUCUGUCGUGAAAGCCCCGGGCUCAACCUGGGAAUUGCAUUGGAGACUGCAAGGCUAGAAUCUGGCAGAGGGGGGUAGAAUUCCACGUGUAGCAGUGGAAUGCGUAGAGAUGUGGAGGAACAUCGAUGGCGAAGGCAGCCCCCUGGGUCAAGAUUGACGCUCAUGCACGAAAGCGUGGGGAGCAAACAGG